Molecule: ribosomal RNA, 301 nt
Filed under: uncultured bacterium
Lineage: Bacteria
Description: partial 16S ribosomal RNA
Rfam family: Bacterial small subunit ribosomal RNA
Source: RNAcentral
CAGCACCGCGGGAAUACGAAGGGUGCAAGCGUUAAUCGGAAUUACUGGGCGUAAAGCGUGCGUAGGCGGUGAGUUAAGUCUGCUGUGAAAUCCCCGGGCUCAACCUGGGAAUGGCAGUGGAUACUGGCUCGCUAGAGUGUGUCAGAGGAUGGUGGAAUUCCCGGUGUAGCGGUGAAAUGCGUAGAGAUCGGGAGGAACAUCAGUGGCGAUGGCGGCCAUCUGGGACAACACUGACGCUGAGGCACGAAAGCGUGGGGAGCAAACAGGAUUAGAUACCCGCGUAGUCCCUGUCUCUUAUACA